GUCACCUCCUGUCACUCCCAGGGUAGGACCUGGGCACAGGGCGGGGGGACCGACACCAUGUUCUUCUGGAGGUGCUGCACAGAGCCACGGGAUGAAGCUGCAGGAUGUCAUGGAAACAUACAUGUCUCUGAUGAAAGACAUUUCCCAGAGGAAGGAGCUGCUGAUCAAAACUGAGAGACACUGCUGUCAUGGAGGAGACGUCCCUGCAAAUCUACUGCAGAGCAUAGAACCACAUCAAGAGGCCUGGUAAUGAGCACUAGGCUUGUUUGAUGCUGCAAGGUGGGCAGAAGAACCUGCAGAAGCCAGUCCUGUAGGGAAGUUUGUUGUCAAGUGGCUGAAUGUAGCACUCUGCAAGCUGCAAUGAUAUGAAACCACUUCUGCAUUAAAUAAUAAAGAGACCUGUAGCUGUGUUGUGAGAUCAUCUCACAACAGAGGGGAGAUCAUCUGUUGUGAGACCAAUCUCACAGAGGGGACACUGAGAUGAGCUCUUAGGCAGAAGCUCUUCCCUGUGAGGGUGCUGAGGCCCUGGCACAGGGUGCCCAGAGAAGCUGUGGCUGCCCCAUCCCUGGCAGUGCUCAAGGCCAGGUUGGACACAGGGGCUUGGAGCACCCUGGUCUAGUGGAAGGUGUCCCUGCCUGUGGCUAGGGGUUGGAACUGGAUGAGCUUUAAGGUCCCUUCCAACCCAAACCAGUCUGGGAUGCUAUAAUGCUCUGGUGAUCAAAUCUGACAUGUUCACAAGAACUGUCCUUUCUCUCUGGGCAAGUCCCGGUAAUCACUUAACGUGGGAGGGACCAGAGGGGAUUCCCUGGGAGACAUGGGAGUGCAACAUCUCCGGCUGUGUACUGGCCACAGAAGAGAGCAAAGCAGUGUGAGCAUACAGGGCAAAUCAUUUCAACAUGACAUGCAUGAACCAACCAGACCUUCUGAUCACAAAAGGAUACUUCAUUUACCUAAGGAAACAACAAGAUGGGAGCUGUUACCCCUUUCCCACGCAGCUGGCGCAAGUACAAGUGUCU
Long non-coding RNA from Neopsephotus bourkii (Bourke's parrot), 1016 nucleotides. RefSeq lists it as uncharacterized. The record is from RefSeq and is a predicted model, not a curated record. Lineage: Eukaryota; Metazoa; Chordata; Aves; Psittaciformes; Psittacidae. The transcript is spliced from 3 exons.